CGGCUCAGUAACACGUGGAUAACCUACCCUUGAGACGGGGAUAAACCCGGGAAACUGGGUAUAAUACCCGAUAGAUCUCGACUGCUGGAAUGCAUCGAGCUUGAAAGCUCCGGCGCUCAAGGAUGGGUCUGCGGCCUAUCAGGUAGUAGUGGGUGUAGCGUACCUACUAGCCUACGACGGGUACGGGUUGUGAGAGCAAGAGCCCGGAGAUGGAUUCUGAGACACGAAUCCAGGCCCUACGGGGUGCAGCAGGCGCGAAAACUUUACAAUGCUGGAAACAGCGAUAAGGGGACCUCGAGUGCCAGGUUACAAAUCUGGCUGUCGUGAUGCCUAAAAAGCAUUGCAUAGCAAGGGCCGGGCAAGACCGGUGCCAGCCGCCGCGGUAACACCGGCGGCUCGAGUGGUAACCGUUAUUAUUGGGUCUAAAGGGUCUGUAGCCGGCCGGAUAAGUCUCUUGGGAAAUCUGGCAGCUUAACUGUCAGGCUUUCAGGAGAUACUGUCUGGCUCGAGGCCGGGAGAGGUGAGAGGUACUUCAGGGGUAGGGGUGAAAUCUUGUAAUCCUUGAAGGACCACCAGUGGCGAAGGCGUCUCACCAGAACGGACCUGACGGCAAGGGACGAAAGCUAGGGGCACGAACCGGAUUAGAUACCCGGGUAGUCCUAGCCGU
RNAcentral lists this ribosomal RNA (667 nucleotides) under uncultured Methanosaeta sp. RNAcentral's name for it is "bacterial SSU rRNA". It matches the Rfam family "Archaeal small subunit ribosomal RNA", at positions 83 to 754 of the family's 1478-position model. Lineage: Archaea; Methanobacteriati; Methanobacteriota; Methanomicrobia; Methanotrichales; Methanotrichaceae. The record is from RNAcentral.